AGAACGAAAUUGAGGAAGCAUAAAAUCGAAUUGGGCGUUUGACCGGACUGGUAAAGAACCAGACCUCCACAGAGCGAAGCGAGGAGGUGGAGGAAGAACACCGAGAAAGACUCGCUUCUCUGAAAUCCCUAGCGCCUUGACGCCAAUUUCUUGCAUUUUCCAAUCAUAUCUAACCUCAAUUUUGUCAAUUCUGUACUCACUUCAGCAGCCGGCCAUGUUUCAACAAAACAAUAUGCAGCUGGCUAUACGGAUUCCGACAUCGCCCGCUCAAGAUUCUUCACAGUAUAUGCAAGUCGAUCAGAGCGACAAGUCUUUAGUAAUGAGCGGUGAUAUGCAAAAUGGGGGAUUCACGCAUGCGGAAUACAUCUUCAACUUCUCCAAGAAACUUGAAGAGGAUUUACAGACGUUUGGCAUGAAAAUAAAACAGCACGAGGAUAACAUUAAAUUUCUCAACACUCAGAAAAAAAAAUUAGACGAAUCCAUCCUCGAUUUGCAAGAAUUUCAUUUCGUUAUUCUAGGCAAGUAUCAUUCUUCUGGCACACCUGUGGCUGAAAACGAGGUUCAUUCCCAUCCUCAAAGCGAAGAGGAAACGAUGGAACAGAUUAUGCAGCAGGAAAAGUCUGCUGCUGGUAUUAUAUGUAGAUUGAACACACAUCAUGGUAUUCAGGCUUACAACAUUACGUUGACCAAGGAUGUAUUGGGCAUUGUUGCUCGGCUUGGAAAAGUUGAUGAUGAUAACCUUGGCAGACUGCUCUCUGAGUACCUGGGAAUGGAAACUAUGCUGGCAAUUGUCUGUAGAACGUAUGAUGGAGUUAAGAUGUUAGAAACAUACGACAAGGAAGGUUGCAUAAACAAAAGUUCUGGCCUUCAUGGUCUUGGUGCUUCAAUUGGGAGGAACUUGGAUGGCCGGUUUCUCGUAAUUUGUCUUGAACAUUUGAGACCGUAUGCUGGUGAUUUUAUUCCUAAUGACCCACAAAGGAGGCUUGAUCUUCUAAAGCCAAGAUUACCUAACGGGGAGUGUCCACCUGGCUUUGUUGGCUUUGCUGUUAACAUGAUCAAUAUUGAUAGCACACACUUGUUUUGUUUUGCAGCCAAUGGAUAUGGUCUCAGGGAGACGCUGUUCUAUUCUCUCUUUUCUCGUCUUCAAGUAUAUAAAACAAGAGCUGACAUGCUACAAGCUCUCCCUUGCAUAAGUGAUGGUGCACUUUCUUUAGAUGGAGGAAUAAUCAAGGCUAAUGGUCUUUUUUGCUUGGGCAAUCAGUAUGAAGCUCUCUUUCAAAAUUGUAAUUCAAGGAAGAUGUUCAGUUGAGAUUUCCGAAGGCCUCAAUGAAAUCAAGCCUGCCUGAAAGCUACAUUGAAUCUGAGAGGCAGAUGAAAGAGCUCAAGUGGAAAAAGGAAAAGAUGAUUGAAGAUAUAAAGAGAGAACAAGCAUUACUGAACAAUUCUAAGCUCAAUUUCGAUAGGAAAAAGGCAGAGUUUCUAAAGUUCCUUGCUGAAAGUUCAUCAUACGCAGCUCAGCAACAACUCUCAGUCAAGCCGGAGAGGCUGACACCACGAUGAAAUUUGCUGUAGAAAACACCAAGUUUUCCGGUGAACAACUUGGGGAAAGGAGCUGUCAGCUGCAAUAUUUUAACCUGAGAAAAUGCAUAAGCUUCCUAUUUCAUUUUUGAGGUAAAUAUCUUAUCUUAUGGUUUAGCUGAAGAAUUUCAAGGAAAUGGAAUAGGAGGCUGUGGCAUCUGUAGUUCCUCACUAGAUUAGGCAUUUUUUUUAGUGCUCACUGUCCAGAUUUAUUGAAACUAAUGUUGUUUAACUGAAGAGACAACGUUCUCUUGCAUUGGAUGAUCGUUAAGUGUUAGCGUAACAUAGUUCAAAUGGUCAAGUCAUAUUCUCCCGAAUAAGAAGUCUAAUGGAUCUUUGUCGUCGGACUCUUUAACUGAAGAGACAAUGGCUCUCUUGCAUUGGAUGGCGGUUUGUAUUGGUCAACUUUGUUGUAGGUUAAGAAAAGCCUCCAUUAUGAUCGUUAAGUGUUAAAAGUUU
Molecule: RNA transcript, 2037 nt
Organism: Cucurbita maxima (winter squash)
Lineage: Eukaryota; Viridiplantae; Streptophyta; Magnoliopsida; Cucurbitales; Cucurbitaceae
Gene name: protein DEFECTIVE IN MERISTEM SILENCING 3-like
Exons: 8
Source: RefSeq, a predicted model, not a curated record